This 497-nucleotide ribosomal RNA is filed under the name uncultured bacterium. RNAcentral describes it as "partial 16S ribosomal RNA". It matches the Rfam family "Bacterial small subunit ribosomal RNA", at positions 28 to 507 of the family's 1533-position model. The record is from RNAcentral.
GAUGAACGCUGGCGGCGUGCCUAAUACAUGCAAGUCGAGCGAACGGACGAGAAGCUUGCUUCUCUGAUGUUAGCGGCGGACGGGUGAGUAACACGUGGAUAACCUACCUAUAAGACUGGGAUAACUUCGGGAAACCGUAGCUAAUACCGGAUAAUAUUUUGAACCGCAUGGUUCAAAAGUGAAAGACGGUCUUGCUGUCACUUAUAGAUGGAUCCGCGCUGCAUUAGCUAGUUGGUAAGGUAACGGCUUACCAAGGCAACGAUGCAUAGCUGACCUGAGAGGGUGAUCAGCCACACUGGAACUGAGACACGGUCCAGACUCCUACGGGAGGCAGCAGUAGGGAAUCUUCCGCAAUGGGCGAAAGCCUGACGGAGCAACGCCGCGUGAGUGAUGAAGGUCUUCGGAUCGUAAAACUCUGUUAUUAGGGAAGAACAGAUGUGUAAGUAACUGUGCACAUCUUGACGGUACCUAAUCAGAAAGACACGGCUAACUACGUG